AUGGCCUCGAGAAAGCUGCGCCAUUACUUCCAAGCACACGAGAUCACAGUCGUCACUCGCUUUCCGCUGAAGAGGAUACUGCAGAAUCCGGAAGCAACAGGCAGGAUUGUCGAGUGGGCACUGGAACUGUCAAGCUUUGGCCUCAAGUUUGAAAGCACCUCAAUUAUCCAAAGCAGAGCAUUGGCAGAGUUCAUAGCAGAGUGGACGCCAACACCAGAUGAAGAAAUUCCAGAAACGAGCAUCCCCGUCAAGGAAGCAAGCAAAGAGUGGCUGAUGUACUUUGAUGGUGCUUUUUCGCUGCAAGGCGCCGGUGCCGGCAUGCUGCUUGUCGCACCCACCGGAGAGCACCUCAAGUACGUAGUUCAGAUGCACUUUCCCAAGGAGCAAGCAACAAACAAUACUGCG
This 405-nucleotide ribosomal RNA is filed under the name Triticum aestivum (bread wheat). Its description in RNAcentral is "partial small subunit ribosomal RNA". Lineage: Eukaryota; Viridiplantae; Streptophyta; Magnoliopsida; Poales; Poaceae. The record is from RNAcentral.